Molecule: long non-coding RNA, 2457 nt
Filed under: Oncorhynchus mykiss (rainbow trout)
Lineage: Eukaryota; Metazoa; Chordata; Actinopteri; Salmoniformes; Salmonidae
Description: lncRNA (ENSOMYG00000071609.1)
Source: RNAcentral
AUGACUUUCCCUGAUCCCCCCCCCCUGUCAUCCAUCCAUCCCUUCAUCACCCUAUCAUCCAUCCAUCCCUUCAUCACCCUAUCAUCCAUCCAUCCCUUCAUCCCCUAUCAUCCAUCCAUCCCUUCAUCCCCUAUCAUCCAUCCAUCCCUUCAUCACCCUAUCAUCCAUCCAUCCCUUCAUCACCCUAUCAUCCAUCCAUCCCUUCAUCACCCUAUCAUCCAUCCAUCCCUUCAUACCCUAUCAUCCAUCCAUCCCUUCAUCACCCUAUCAUCCAUCCAUCCCUUCAUCACCCUAUCAUCCAUCCAUCCCUUCAUCACCCUAUCAUCCAUCCAUCCCUUCAUCCCCUAUCAUCCAUCCAUCCCUUCAUCCCCUAUCAUCCAUCCAUCCCUUCAUCCCCUAUCAUCCAUCCAUCCCUUCAUCCCCUAUCAUCCAUCCAUCCCUUCAUCCCCUAUCAUCCAUCCAUCCCUUCAUCCCCUAUCAUCCAUCCAUCCCUUCAUCCCCUAUCAUCCAUCCAUCCCUUCAUCACCCUAUCAUCCAUCCAUCCCUUCAUCACCCUAUCAUCUAUCCCUUCAUCUCCAUAUCAUCCAUCCCUUCAUCUCCAUAUCAUCCAUCCCUUCAUCUCCAUAUCAUCCAUCCUUUCAUCACCCUAUCAUCCAUCCCUUCAUCACCCUAUCAUCCAUCCCUUCAUCUCCCUAUCAUCCAUCCAUCCCUUCAUCACCCUAUCAUCUAUCCAUCCCUUCAUCCCCUAUCAUCCAUCCAUCCCUUCAUCCCCUAUCAUCCAUCCAUCCCUUCAUCCCCUAUCAUCCAUCCAUCCCUUCAUCCCCUAUCAUCCAUCCAUCCCUUCAUCCCCUAUCAUCCAUCCAUCCCUUCAUCCCCUAUCAUCCAUCCAUCCCUUCAUCACCCUAUCAUCCAUCCAUCCCUUCAUCACCCUAUCAUCCAUCCAUCCCUUCAUCACCCUAUCAUCCAUCCAUCCCUUCAUCACCCUAUCAUCCAUCCAUCCCUUCAUCACCCUAUCAUCCAUCCAUCCCUUCAUCACCCUAUCAUCCAUCCAUCCCUUCAUCACCCUAUCAUCUAUCCCUUCAUCUCCAUAUCAUCCAUCCCUUCAUCUCCAUAUCAUCCAUCCUUUCAUCACCCUAUCAUCCAUCCCUUCAUCACCCUAUCAUCCAUCCCUUCAUCACCCUAUCAUCCAUCCCUUCAUCUCCCUAUCAUCCAUCCAUCCCUUCAUCACCCUAUCAUCCAUCCAUCCCUUCAUCCCCUGUCAUCCAUCCAUCCAUCCCUUCAUCACCCUAUCAUCCAUCCAUCCCUUCAUCACCCUAUCAUCCAUCCAUCCCUUCAUCCCCCAUCAUCCAUCCAUCCCUUCAUCCCCUAUCAUCCAUCCAUCCCUUCAUCAUCCAUCCCUUCAUCAUCCAUCCCUUCAUCACCCUAUCAUCCAUCCCUUCAUCACAUAUCAUCCAUCCAUCCCUUCAUCACAUAUCAUCCAUCCAUCCCUUCAUCACCCUAUCAUCCAUCCAUCCCUUCAUCACCCUAUCAUCUAUCCCUUCAUCUCCAUAUCAUCCAUCCCUUCAUCUCCAUAUCAUCCAUCCUUUCAUCACCCUAUCAUCCAUCCCUUCAUCACCCUAUCAUCCAUCCCUUCAUCACCCUAUCAUCCAUCCCUUCAUCUCCCUAUCAUCCAUCCAUCCCUUCAUCACCCUAUCAUCCAUCCAUCCCUUCAUCCCCUGUCAUCCAUCCAUCCAUCCCUUCAUCACCCUAUCAUCCAUCCAUCCCUUCAUCACCCUAUCAUCCAUCCAUCCCUUCAUCACCCUAUCAUCCAUCCAUCCCUUCAUCCCCUAUCAUCCAUCCAUCCCUUCAUCAUCCAUCCCUUCAUCAUCCAUCCCUUCAUCACCCUAUCAUCCAUCCCUUCAUCACCUAUCAUCCAUCCCUUCAUCACAUAUCAUCCAUCCCUUCAUCACCCUAUCAUCCAUCCCUUCAUCACAUAUCAUCCAUCCCUUCAUCACAUAUCAUCCAUCCCUUCAUCUCCCUAUCAUCCAUCCCUUCAUCUCCCUAUCAUCCAUCCCUUCAUCUCCCUAUCAUCCAUCCCUUCAUCUCCCUAUCAUCCAUCCCUUCAUCUCCAUAUCAUCCAUCCCAUCCCUUCAUCCCCUAUCAUCCAUCCAUCCCCUAUCAUCCAUCCAUCCCCUAUCAUCCAUCCAUCCCUUCAUCCCCUAUCAUCCAUCCAUCCCUUCAUCCCCUAUCAUCCAUCCAUCCCUUCAUCCCCUAUCAUCCAUCCAUCCCUUCAUCCCCUAUCAUCCAUCCAUCCCUUCAUCCCCUAUCAUCCAUCCAUCCCUUCAUCCCCUAUCAUCCAUCCAUCCCUUCAUCCCCCUAUCCAGCUCUGCUGGCUGUCUGGCUGUACAAACCACAGCUGAUAAGACCUGUUUUGUUUUUCAUCAUUUGCUGGGCAUCUGCAUUGUCAGGACUUUUUAA